GACGAACGCUGGCGGCGUGCCUAAUACAUGCAAGUAGAACGCUGAAGGAGGAGCUUACUUCUCUGGAUGAGUUGCGAACGGGUGAGUAACGCGUGGGUAACCUGCCUGGUAGCGGGGGAUAACUAUUGGAAACGAUAGCUAAUACCGCAUAAGAGUAGAAGUUGCAUGACAUUUACUUAAAAGGUGCAAUUGCACCACUACCAGAUGGACCUGCGUUGUAUUAGCUAGUUGGUGGGGUAACGGCUUACCAAGGCGACGAUACAUAGCCGACCUGAGAGGGUGAUCGGCCACACUGGGACUGAGACACGGCCCAGACUCCUACGGGAGGCAGCAGUAGGGAAUCUUCGGCAAUGGACGGAAGUCUGACCGAGCAACGCCGCGUGAGCGAAGAAGGUUUUCGGAUCGUAAAGCUCUGUUGUAAGAGAAGAACGAGUGUGAGAGUGGAAAGUUCACACUGUGACGGUAUCUUACCAGAAAGGGACGGCUAACUACGUGCCAGCCGCCGCAGUAA
This 511-nucleotide ribosomal RNA is filed under the name uncultured bacterium. RNAcentral's name for it is "partial 16S ribosomal RNA". It matches the Rfam family "Bacterial small subunit ribosomal RNA", at positions 28 to 523 of the family's 1533-position model. The record is from RNAcentral.